AACCCCUGUGUAGCAACAGAUGUCUUGCAGCGGAGAUAAGAUGUGUUGCCGUCCGUCCCUCCUUUCAACCUCCUAGACCAAAAUGAAAAUAAACUACCCCCAAGCCAUCCCUGAUCUACGAGACCAAUUCCUUCUCUUGCGCAUAGGGUUCCAGCACCCCUCCCACAAUUCUCCUCCAUGUCAUUUUCGGUGGCGGUGGAUUGUUCGAUUCCUCAUCAGCCCUCCCCAACACCUGCUGUAGGGAGACUACCUUGAGGCCCGCAGAUCAUGGGCUCGCCACCGGAGUCUCCAUCGAGCCUGCGCUGCUGCCUUCCUCCAUGGGGGCUAGGUUCCAUGGAGAGCACAACGAUCUGCUCCCCUUAGCCAAUUCCGUCAGAUCCCGUGGCGAUGAGAAGAGGGGAGAUCGCUGCCGGAUCACCAGAUCGGAAGGAGGGAUAUCGCCUUCUCAUCCUGUCUGCACCAUCAUUCCCUUCCAAACGGCGCCCUCGCUGGGGGAGAAUUGAUCUAUGAAAUUUCGUGCAUCAAUUGUUUACUGAUAUCUUCAGAUUUGAUCAGGGCGCAGGUUCGACACUUCUGUCAUAUCUGAAUUGAGUUGAUUACCCAUCUGAAAGUGAGAUGUAACAGGAUUCUUAACAUGUGGGAGUUACAGCCUGAAUGAUUCCGCUGUAGAAGAUCUGACUUGAAGAGUUUCUGAGUACUCAGGUGUGAAAGUUCUGUUUAGUUUAAGUUUGUAUUAGAGUACACAUAUAUUCUUAUGCACUUGUCAUAUGAAUAAUAUGCGCCGACUGUCCAUAGAGAACUUGAUCAGCGUGGAGAACAGAUUGCAAGACACAUCAUGCAUAUGUUUUGUCGUACAAUUGAGGAUGUGGAGCACGAAGGAUCAUCUGGGUGGACGCAUUUCGUGAUAAAUUAGUCAUAUGUUCAAUUUCAGUUUUUUGUAUCCCUGUAUGCUAUCAACAACCACGUAAAGAUAAUCCUUGUAUUUGUCUAAUAAGAUCAUUUUUAAUUUUUUUAUCA
This is a long non-coding RNA of Panicum hallii, 1017 nucleotides long. RefSeq lists it as uncharacterized. The record is from RefSeq and is a predicted model, not a curated record. Lineage: Eukaryota; Viridiplantae; Streptophyta; Magnoliopsida; Poales; Poaceae. The transcript is spliced from 2 exons.